UCGCCCUGAUGUCGGGCUCAGAUUGUGUUGCUGGUAGUUGUAUGGCUUCUGCAAGCACAAGCUCCCAGGAAGUAGGUGCGUUAGUCUGCUGUCGCUGCUCUUCUAUAUUUUUCUUUGUUACUGUUUCUUGUUCUUGUCCAGACCAAUCUUCUAAGCUUAUUAGAUCAGACAUUGUAUUAGUAAUCGGUAACGAAUGAGUUGAGUCUGAUUCACUCAUUUGGAAAGUGUCAUUUCUAUCACUCUGCUGUUUAAAAUUAUCAGGAUAAGCUUCCAAGUCUAUAGAUAUACCUUGACUUGUUCCGUCUUUUGUGGCAUCAAGUAGAUUCUCCAAUGACGUCUGUUUUGGACCCAACUUAGAAGCUCUGUGGGAACUUUUACGUCUAGGAGGUUUUGUAGAUUCAAGAUCCCUCUCAUAACUUUCUUGCGGUGUUUGAUUAGAAUUUGGC
This 446-nucleotide long non-coding RNA is filed under the name Daucus carota (carrot). RNAcentral describes it as "long non-coding RNA (DCAR_LNC003983)". Lineage: Eukaryota; Viridiplantae; Streptophyta; Magnoliopsida; Apiales; Apiaceae. The record is from RNAcentral.